Molecule: long non-coding RNA, 887 nt
Organism: Carya illinoinensis
Lineage: Eukaryota; Viridiplantae; Streptophyta; Magnoliopsida; Fagales; Juglandaceae
Exons: 2
Source: RefSeq, a predicted model, not a curated record
AGUGACUGUAUGUAGCAUUGCUCAUGAUAUAUUUACACCUCUUUUUUUAUUAUUUAAUUUUUUUUUUCUUUUCUUGUUAUUAAUUUAGGAAUUAAUCUUAGCAUCAGCCACCAUUUGGCUGAAGCCGGAGCACACCUUACGUGGCUGAGGUGAUUUUUCCUUUUUCUCCCUGCUGUGCAUUUCCGUUCCCACUUUCUGAUUUUCGCCUCAUUUCAAAUUCACCCAUCCUCCACCCCCGCGUUCUCCCACCCCCAUCCCGGAUCGACCAUCCCCACCCCUAACCCCACGUCGCCGUCGCCCACCCCCCCUUCGCAAAGUUGCCCCGUCGACCCUCUUGGCUUAGUUCAAAAUCUUCAUCUCUUCAUCCCUCUUCUCUCCAACAAAAUUUGUCUCCCCAUCUUCUCAAAUCAAUCCCCUCCAUUCCUUUACAUUUCCCUCAAAAUGUAAAUGAGCGAGCUGUAAAAGAAAGAAUCCGGAUUAAAUCUGUGAAAGAGAUCUACAGCGCCACUGGCUAAGGAGCUUGGGGUGAUGAGCGAGGUCAACCAUGAACAAAGAAUGAAGGGGUGAAGACAACGAAAAGGAUGGGGACGCUAUGCUGUGGAGUUUUACUUUUAUUGAAGCUUUGCGUUUUAUCCUUUCUGGUUGUUAGUCUAUCCCAUGUGUCCUGUAGCACGGCAAUGUUAGCAGUGGAGUCUGUUGGAGGGUUGUUAUUGAUUUUGUAUAUUCAUAUAAAUAGGAGAGGAAAGAAAGAGGGAAGAUUAUUCUGAAUUGUAAUCUCUGGAACUUUCCUUGGGAGGUUCAGGAAUUGCCUCGAAUGAAUUCCUGGAGUGAUGAAUGUAUGGACAUAUGAAUUUCAGUAAAUAAGAUUCAACCCAUUUCCUUUGCAA